RNAcentral lists this non-coding RNA (24 nucleotides) under Arabidopsis thaliana (thale cress). The record is from RNAcentral. Lineage: Eukaryota; Viridiplantae; Streptophyta; Magnoliopsida; Brassicales; Brassicaceae.
AGGGUCGGCUUAGAGAAAAGUGGA